This 60-nucleotide microRNA precursor is filed under the name Nautilus pompilius. Its description in RNAcentral is "Npo-Mir-96-P1i_pre stem-loop". The record is from RNAcentral. Lineage: Eukaryota; Metazoa; Mollusca; Cephalopoda; Nautilida; Nautilidae.
AUUUGGCACCUGUGGAAUAAUCAUUUUCGGUUGAUGAGAUUAUACACCGGUGCCAAGUAA